ACUAUAUUGGCAGAAUUUAUGCAUUAAAUUUAGAAUUUAAUAAAAUGACUUUAAUCAUAUUUAGUA
RNAcentral lists this transfer RNA (66 nucleotides) under Empoascanara plamka. Its description in RNAcentral is "tRNA-Leu". Lineage: Eukaryota; Metazoa; Arthropoda; Insecta; Hemiptera; Cicadellidae. The record is from RNAcentral.